Molecule: ribosomal RNA, 778 nt
Filed under: Sarcocystis neurona
Lineage: Eukaryota; Apicomplexa; Conoidasida; Eucoccidiorida; Sarcocystidae
Description: SSU rRNA
Rfam family: Eukaryotic small subunit ribosomal RNA
Source: RNAcentral
AGUCAUAUGCUUGUCUUAAAGAUUAAGCCAUGCAUGUCUAAGUAUAAGCUUUUAUACGGCGAAACUGCGAAUGGCUCAUUAAAACAGUUAUAGUUUAUUUGAUGGUCUUUACUACAUGGAUAACCGUGGUAAUUCUAUGGCUAAUACAUGCGCACAUACCUCUUCCCUCGUGGAAGGGUAGUGUUUAUUAGAUACAGAACCAACCCACCUUCGGGUGGUCCUCAGGUGAUUCAUAGUAACCGAACGGAUCGCAUUAUGGCCUUUUGGUCGGCGAUGGAUCAUUCAAGUUUCUGACCUAUCAGCUUUCGACGGUACUGUAUUGGACUACCGUGGCAGUGACGGGUAACGGGGAAUUAGGGUUCGAUUCCGGAGAGGGAGCCUGAGAAACGGCUACCACAUCUAAGGAAGGCAGCAGGCGCGCAAAUUACCCAAUCCUGACUCAGGGAGGUAGUGACAAGAAAUAACAACACUGGAAAUUAUAUUUCUAGUGAUUGGAAUGAUGGGAAUCCAAACCCCUUUCAGAGUAACAAUUGGAGGGCAAGUCUGGUGCCAGCAGCCGCGGUAAUUCCAGCUCCAAUAGCGUAUAUUAAAGUUGUUGCAGUUAAAAAGCUCGUAGUUGGAUAUCUGCUGGAAGCAGCCAGUCCGCCCUUUGUGGGUGUGCACUUGGUGAAUUCUGGCAUCCUCCUGAUUGGUGUUAUCAUCACUUCAUUGUGUUGAUGGCAGCUGUCAGGACCGUUACUUUGAGAAAAUUAGAGUGUUUCAAGCAGGCUUGUUGCCU